GGGGGAUUUUUUUUCCUUUUUUUCUUUAAAAUUUUCCAUUUUAAAUUGGUUAUUUCUGAUUUAUAUAUAAAAGCAAAUAAUAAUGAUAUGGUUUGAAUAGGUAAAUUAAAAAAAAUUAAGUUCUUAGACCACAUUCAAUCUGUGUGAGAAACCUAUGCUGUGUCAAAUAUUUAAUCACAAUCCAAAUUCAGUGCUGUAUCAAGCUUGAAUGUUGUGUCCAUACUUGCCCCAACUGUUCAGGGUUCGACGUCUGCGGUCGUAUCAAGCUGAGCCCAGUGGAGCAUUUUAUUAUAUAUUGAGGUUAUCAUUUUAAUAUAUUGUGCUUAACAUUUUAAUAUAUUGUGCCUAAAAUUUUAAUAUAUUAAAGACAUAUGAAACUUAAAAUUUAAAAAAAAAGUUGAAUAUGUUUUAUAUACUGAAAUGUCUAAGUUUAACUAUAAAACAAGUGAACCUGAACUUUCUUGUAAAAGAAAAUCUUUUAUAUUAUCAAAAUCUUCCUAAAUGUACUGCUAUUGAAUUAUAAUCUUCACAUACUUUAAUUCCCGGAUAUUUUCCUGUAUGCAGUAACCUUAACCAUGAGACCUCUCGUUAGAACUUCGGUCGCCACACAGCACAAGUGCGAGGGGGAAACCUUGAUGAAAGAAUGUAAAAAAUCGUGCACUGGAAGGUUAAUUGUACAUGUAGUAACUGAUUCUUAAAGAACACAUUUAAUACAACAAAUUAUUUAAAAACUGUUAAGAAAAAGUUUAAUUAACAAUUUACUUAUUUGUCACGAGCUUCACGUGCUCUGUGUUGAUUGUUUAUCAAUGUCACGACCCGGUAAACUUCGACAACACACUCAAAAGAUAAUUAACUUUCUAUCAACAAUCACUGAAUAAAAUAUUAUUUGUUGAUUAUAUGUUAUAGAUUCGUAAUAGAUAUAAAAAAAAAAAAAUGUGCAUGCAGGACUUGGUUUAGUAUAUUUGCAUUCAUUGGUUCAAUCAUUUAGAUAACAUUAAAAUUACAAGAAACUCGUUUCAUAUGACUUUAAUGUUAUCAUUUUGAUAUAUUAAGGGUAUCAUUUUAAUAUAUUGUGCUUAACAUUUUAAUAGAUUGUGUCUAACAUUUUAAUAAACACAUGUAUUGUGCUUAACAUUUUACAGUUUAUGUUUAUAAUGAUGUUUAAAUAUGAUUAUAUAGAAUAAAUUAUUUAACUUUCA
Molecule: long non-coding RNA, 1199 nt
Organism: Mytilus californianus (California mussel)
Lineage: Eukaryota; Metazoa; Mollusca; Bivalvia; Mytilida; Mytilidae
Exons: 2
Source: RefSeq, a predicted model, not a curated record